UACGGAGGGUGCAAGCGUUUAUCCGGAUUUACUGGGUUUAAAGGGUGCGUAGGUGGGCAGGUAAGUCAGUGGUGAAAUCUCCGAGCUUAACUCGGAAACUGCCAUUGAUACUAUCUGUCUUGAAUUAUCUGGAGGUGAGCGGAAUAUGUCAUGUAGCGGUGAAAUGCUUAGAUAUGACAUAGAACACCAAUUGCGAAGGCAGCUCACUACGGAUAUAUUGACACUGAGGCACGGAAAAGCGUGGG
This 245-nucleotide ribosomal RNA is filed under the name uncultured bacterium. RNAcentral describes it as "partial 16S ribosomal RNA". It matches the Rfam family "Bacterial small subunit ribosomal RNA", at positions 524 to 765 of the family's 1533-position model. The record is from RNAcentral.